Molecule: long non-coding RNA, 1364 nt
Organism: Megalobrama amblycephala (Wuchang bream)
Lineage: Eukaryota; Metazoa; Chordata; Actinopteri; Cypriniformes; Xenocyprididae
Exons: 2
Source: RefSeq, a predicted model, not a curated record
UGAAGUACCUUUUUUAUUUUUUAUUCUGUUGAACAAGCUUCCAUAAGAUCGACUCGACACAAAACUGCUCCUUCAGUCUGUGAUGCUGCAGAGAUUUCUUUGGAUUCCGUUUGUAUUUUCAGACACGAGCGUUUUUCUGUCUUUUGAGAAUCAUUUGAGAAUCGCAGCGUUUCUGUGCUGAAACAGAAUCACAAAAGAAGCUGCAGCCAAAGUUCGUCUCUGUUUGAGUUCAUUCUGCCGUCAGCGAACAGAGACGUGUAGCGCACAGGUGAGGUCAGAGGUCAGAGGUCAGCGCGUGUUUUUGUAUAAAUACCUCCAGCACUGAUGUUAGAUCCAAGAAUACUACUGUGUACAGUCUCUUUUAACUCGUUUUUACUUCAUUUGUGUCUUUUUUUACUCUCACGAACACGUUCUGUUGAAUCGACGGCGUCUCGUUGUUUUUAUCUGCUUCCAGCAGUCUGUGGUGAAACUUCAACAUGACAAUAUCUGCAUAGAUCCGUUCUGAUGUUAUUUAUACACAUGAAACUGUUCAAACAGAAGGCGGCGACACUGAUCUAUAAAUAUCGUUCGUUUCCAUUCUGCUUUUGUCUCACGCCGGUGAAGUUUAAUAUAUGAAAUAUUUCAGUCUUUAUUGUUUUCUGCAGGAAUGAAAAAGCAGAUGAAAACCAAAGAUUCAUCCGUUUCUUUGUCAUCUUUAUUCGAACACCCACAAUAUAUACCAGGAUUAUAUAUACAGUAAAUAUAUAAAUAUGUGAAAAAAAGUUUAUUUUGUGGUUCCCAAAGCAAAAGUCCUCUUGAGGAUGAAAACCAAAGAUUAUUCACUUUCUCUUUGCCUUUCCCUUGAUUUUUUUUUUUAUGUAUAAUUCAUUGGAAAUCGUAGUUGUAUUCUAAUCUUUAUGAUCCAGUAAUCAAGUUAUUGAUUUUAUGGUGGAAUAUGAAUCAUUUUCUCUCUGCAUGAGAUGAAACAGCAGCGUCUCCGAGUUUCUUCUGUCGUUCUCUUGAUUCAGACGAUGUGUGUCGACUUUCUCUGCUGAAUGUUUAAUAUCUUACAGAAGGGCUACACACACACACACACACACACACACACACACACACACACACACACACACACACACACACACACACACACACACACACACACACACACACACUCACUCACACACACACACACACACACACACACUCACUCACACACACACACACACACACUUGUGUUCCUCCGCAGGUCUUCUGGACUCCAGCGGCUCCAGGUGUUGCUGUUUCAUGGUUUACUGUACUCAUGAGCUCCUCUGGAGUUUGUUUCUUUGCUGUUGUUGAGUUUGUCAUGUUGCUGUAGAUUCAUUAAAUGUUUUUCUCAGACUGUU